AAAUUGGGGGAAAAUCUUGGGGAAAAAAAAAAAGGAAAAUUCCCGAAAAACCCCUGGGUGUCGUUGCAGGUGCGGCCGGAACUGGCGGGACCAAGUGUGACACGGAGGGGACACCUGAGUGUGUGACACACCUGGGACACACCUGGGACACACCUGAGUGUGAGUGUGACACACCUGGGUGUGUGUGACACACCUAUGACACACCUGAGUGUGUGUGUGACACACCUAUGACACACCUGAGUGUGUGUGUGACACACCUGGGACACACUUGAGUGUGUGUGUGACACACCUGGGACACACUUGAGUGUGUGUGUGACACACCUGAGUGUGUGUGACACACCUGGGACACACCCGUGACCCCUCUGUGUGAGUGUGACAUCAUGACACGCCUGUGACACACCUGUGAGCUUGUGUGUGACACACCUGUGUGUGACACCUGUGUGUGUGUGACGCACCAGGCACACCUGGAUGAGUGUGGCACCCGUCCCUGACUGUGUCACCUGUGUCCCCAGGUGUCACACCUGGCCCUGGGUGUGUCCCAGGUGUCUCUGAGUGUGUCACACCUGUCCUUGAGUGGGUGACACCUGUCUGUCUGUGUCACACCUGCCCAGGAGUGUCACAGGUGUCUCUGACAAUGUCACCUGUGUCCCCAAGUGUGUCCCACCUGUCCUUGGGUGUGUCCCAGGUGUCCCUGGGUGUGUCCCACCUGUCCCUGGGUGUGUCCCCGGGUGUGUCCCAGGUGUCUCUGAUGUGUCCCACCUGUCCCCGGGUGUGUCCCAUCUGUCCCCAGGUGUGUCCCACAUGUCCCUGUGUCCCACCUGUCCCUGAGUGUGUCCCAGGUGUCCCUGACAGUGUCACACCUGUCCCCAGGAGUGUCACAUCUGUCCAUGUCCCUGUGUCCCACCUGUCCUUGGGUGUGUCAUAGGUGUCCCUGACAGUGUCACAACCGUCCGUGUCCCAUCUGUCCCCAGGUGUGUCCCACCUGUCCUUGGGUGUGUCCCUGACAGUGUGCCACCUGUCCCUGGGUGUGUCCCAGGUGUCCCUGACAGUGUCACACCCGUCCCUGUCCCACCUGU
RNAcentral lists this long non-coding RNA (1076 nucleotides) under Zonotrichia albicollis (white-throated sparrow). Its description in RNAcentral is "lncRNA (ENSZALG00000003154.1)". Lineage: Eukaryota; Metazoa; Chordata; Aves; Passeriformes; Passerellidae. The record is from RNAcentral.